Molecule: ribosomal RNA, 292 nt
Filed under: uncultured archaeon
Lineage: Archaea
Description: partial 16S ribosomal RNA
Rfam family: Archaeal small subunit ribosomal RNA
Source: RNAcentral
GCGAGAAACCUUUACAAUGUGCGAAAGCAUGAUAAGGGAACUCCGAGUGCCAGUAUCUAAUACUGGCUGUCCUUGUGCCUAAAACGCACAAGAUAGCAAGGGCCGGAUAAGACCGGUGCCAGCCGCCGCGGUAACACCGGCGGCCCGAGUGGUAGCCGCUAUUAUUGGGUCUAAAGGGUCCGUAGCCGGUUCGAUAAGUCCUCUGGGAAAUCUGGUUGCUUAACAAUCAGACUGCCAGGGGAUACUGUCGAACUUGAGACCGGGAGAGGUAAGAGGUACUUCAGGGGUAGGA